This 341-nucleotide RNase P RNA is filed under the name uncultured Eubacterium sp. RNAcentral describes it as "Bacterial RNase P class A". It matches the Rfam family "Bacterial RNase P class A". From Rfam's summary of the family: Ribonuclease P (RNase P) is a ubiquitous endoribonuclease, found in archaea, bacteria and eukarya as well as chloroplasts and mitochondria. Its best characterised activity is the generation of mature 5'-ends of tRNAs by cleaving the 5'-leader elements of precursor-tRNAs. Lineage: Bacteria; Bacillati; Bacillota; Clostridia; Eubacteriales; Eubacteriaceae. The record is from RNAcentral.
GUAAGACAGGUGAUCGCGGCUGCAGAAAUCGAAAGACUGCAGGUGAGGAAAGUCCGGGCUUCACAGGGCAGGAUGCCGGAUAACGUCCGGUGGAGGCGACUCCAAGGAUAGUGCAACAGAAAUAUACCGCCGUCUUUGAGACGGUAAGGUUGGAAGGGUAAGUGUAAGAGACUACCGCCCGGCCGGUAACAGCCGGGGCAUAUGUAAACCCCAUCCGAAGCAAGACCGAAACAAAGCGCUGACGUGGCCCGCCAGCUUUAGGUAGGUUGCUGAAAGCAGCUGGCAACAGCUGUUUUAGAUAGAUGAUCACCCACGACAUAACCCGGCUUAUCGUUUUGCUU